RNAcentral lists this ribosomal RNA (64 nucleotides) under Bacteroidota bacterium. RNAcentral describes it as "partial 16S ribosomal RNA". It matches the Rfam family "Bacterial small subunit ribosomal RNA", at positions 1470 to 1533 of the family's 1533-position model. The record is from RNAcentral. Lineage: Bacteria; Pseudomonadati; Bacteroidota.
GGUAAUUGGGGCUAAGUCGUAACAAGGUAGCCGUACCGGAAGGUGUGGCUGGAACACCUCCUUU